This 274-nucleotide ribosomal RNA is filed under the name uncultured bacterium. RNAcentral's name for it is "partial 16S ribosomal RNA". It matches the Rfam family "Bacterial small subunit ribosomal RNA", at positions 523 to 796 of the family's 1533-position model. The record is from RNAcentral.
AUACGGAGGGUGCAAGCGUUAUCCGGAAUCAUUGGGUUUAAAGGGUCCGCAGGCGGAUUAAUAAGUCAGUGGUGAAAUCCUCUCGCUCAACGAGAGAACUGCCAUUGUAACUGUUAGUCUUGAAUUCGGUCGAAGUAGGCGGAAUGUGUCAUGUAGCGGUGAAAUGCAUAGAUAUGACACAGAACACCGAUAGCGAAGGCAGCUUACUAGACCUGGAUUGACGCUCAUGGACGAAAGCGUGGGGAGCGAACAGGAUUAGAAACCCGGGUAGUCC